RNAcentral lists this ribosomal RNA (1452 nucleotides) under Lacticaseibacillus paracasei. Its description in RNAcentral is "bacterial SSU rRNA". It matches the Rfam family "Bacterial small subunit ribosomal RNA". Lineage: Bacteria; Bacillati; Bacillota; Bacilli; Lactobacillales; Lactobacillaceae. The record is from RNAcentral.
CGAGUUCUCGUUGAUGAUCGGUGCUUGCACCGAGAUUCAACAUGGAACGAGUGGCGGACGGGUGAGUAACACGUGGGUAACCUGCCCUUAAGUGGGGGAUAACAUUUGGAAACAGAUGCUAAUACCGCAUAGAUCCAAGAACCGCAUGGUUCUUGGCUGAAAGAUGGCGUAAGCUAUCGCUUUUGGAUGGACCCGCGGCGUAUUAGCUAGUUGGUGAGGUAAUGGCUCACCAAGGCGAUGAUACGUAGCCGAACUGAGAGGUUGAUCGGCCACAUUGGGACUGAGACACGGCCCAAACUCCUACGGGAGGCAGCAGUAGGGAAUCUUCCACAAUGGACGCAAGUCUGAUGGAGCAACGCCGCGUGAGUGAAGAAGGCUUUCGGGUCGUAAAACUCUGUUGUUGGAGAAGAAUGGUCGGCAGAGUAACUGUUGUCGGCGUGACGGUAUCCAACCAGAAAGCCACGGCUAACUACGUGCCAGCAGCCGCGGUAAUACGUAGGUGGCAAGCGUUAUCCGGAUUUAUUGGGCGUAAAGCGAGCGCAGGCGGUUUUUUAAGUCUGAUGUGAAAGCCCUCGGCUUAACCGAGGAAGCGCAUCGGAAACUGGGAAACUUGAGUGCAGAAGAGGACAGUGGAACUCCAUGUGUAGCGGUGAAAUGCGUAGAUAUAUGGAAGAACACCAGUGGCGAAGGCGGCUGUCUGGUCUGUAACUGACGCUGAGGCUCGAAAGCAUGGGUAGCGAACAGGAUUAGAUACCCUGGUAGUCCAUGCCGUAAACGAUGAAUGCUAGGUGUUGGAGGGUUUCCGCCCUUCAGUGCCGCAGCUAACGCAUUAAGCAUUCCGCCUGGGGAGUACGACCGCCAAGGUUGAAACUCAAAGGAAUUGACGGGGGCCCGCACAAGCGGUGGAGCAUGUGGUUUAAUUCGAAGCAACGCGAAGAACCUUACCAGGUCUUGACAUCUUUUGAUCACCUGAGAGAUCAGGUUUCCCCUUCGGGGGCAAAAUGACAGGUGGUGCAUGGUUGUCGUCAGCUCGUGUCGUGAGAUGUUGGGUUAAGUCCCGCAACGAGCGCAACCCUUAUGACUAGUUGCCAGCAUUUAGUUGGGCACUCUAGUAAGACUGCCGGUGACAAACCGGAGGAAGGUGGGGAUGACGUCAAAUCAUCAUGCCCCUUAUGACCUGGGCUACACACGUGCUACAAUGGAUGGUACAACGAGUUGCGAGACCGCGAGGUCAAGCUAAUCUCUUAAAGCCAUUCUCAGUUCGGACUGUAGGCUGCAACUCGCCUACACGAAGUCGGAAUCGCUAGUAAUCGCGGAUCAGCACGCCGCGGUGAAUACGUUCCCGGGCCUUGUACACACCGCCCGUCACACCAUGAGAGUUUGUAACACCCGAAGCCGGUGGCGUAACCCUUUUAGGGAGCGAGCCGUCUAAGGUGGGACAAAUGAUUAGGG